UAAAAAGGUACUCAAGGGCACACAAUGGAUGCCUAGACGUAUAUUACCGAUGAAGGACGUGGAAGACUGCGAUAAGCUUCGGGUAGCUGUCAACAAGCUGUGAUCCGGAGAUUUCCGAAUGGGGAAACCUAGCAUGAGUCAUGUCAUGUUGCCACGUGCUGAAUACAUAGGCACGCGAGCGGGAACCAUCUGAACUGAAACAUCUUAGUAGGAUGAGGAAAAGAGAGUAAAUAACUAUUGCGAAAGUAGUGGCGAGCGAAAUCGCAACAGCCCAAACCUUUUAAGUUUUUGCCUAUUUAUUUAGGCAAAUAAGUUGAUAGACGAAUACUUAGAAGGGGUUGUGAAAUAUCAUAUGACCAAGCCAGAGAACUUGAUUCUUCUGAAUCGAGCUAUCUGGUUUGCGACUACUGGCUAUCAACGGUAGGUAAGGUAAAAAUCAGCGUGGUUAGCAGAACAAGUUUGAAUACUUGGUCAAAGAGCGUGAAAGCCGCGUAUGCGAAAACAACGCUGACCUUAUGUAUGGUGUUUCGAGUAGGUCGGGGCACGAGAAACCCUGAUUGAAUCCGGCUGGACCACCAGCCAAGGCUAAAUAUAAUAUACGAUCGAUAGCGAACUAGUACAGUGAUGGAAAGGUGAAAAGAACCCCGGGAGGGGAGUGAAAUAGAUCCUGAAAUUGUGUGCCUACAAGGAGUCGGAGCCGGCUUGUCCGGUGACGGCGUGCUUUUUGUAGAACGAUCCAGCGAGUUAAUUUCGUGCGCAAGGUUAAGCCAAUUGGCGGAGCCACAGUGAAAGCGAGCCUGAAUAGGGCGAAUGAGUGCACGGGAUUAGACCCGAAACCGGGUGACCUAACCAUGAGCAGGCUGAAGCGACGGUAACACGUCGUGGAGGGCCGAACCAGGGUACGCUGCAAAGUGCUUGGAUGACUUGUGGUUAGCGGUGAAAUGCCAAUCGAACUCGGAGAUAGCUGGUUCUCCUCGAAACAGUUUUAGGACUGGCGUCAUGUAGUAGCAGUCGGGGGUAGAGCUCUGUAAAGGACUGGGGCUGGCAACGGUACCCACCCUUAACAAACUACGAAUACCGAUUGUGGAAUCAUGGCAGUUAGAACGGCGGAGCUAAGUUCGUCGCUCAAAAGGGAAACAGCCCAGACCAUCGUCUAAGGUCCCUAAAUUUACGUUAAGUGGGAAACAAGGUGAGAUUUCUUAAACAGCUAGGAUGUUGGCUUAGAAGCAGCCAUUCAUUUAAAGAGUGCGUAACAGCUCACUAGUCAAGAGAUCUUGCGUGGAAAAUGUAACGGGGCUAAACGUAAUACCGAAGACAUGGAUUGUAUGCUUUGCAUACAGUGGUAGAGGAGCGUUCCUAUCAGCAGUGAAGCAGUAUUGUAAAGUAUUGUGGAGUGGUAGGAAGUGAGAAUGCUGGAAUGAGUAACCAUAAGAGAGGUGAGAAUCCUCUCGGCCGUAAGAGCAAGGUUUCCUGAGCCAUGGUAAUCAUCUCAGGGUUAGUCGGGCCUAAGCCGAGGCGCAGAGCGUAGGCGAUGGACAUCAGGUUAAUAUUCCUGAACCGGUAUAUACUUGUAUGCUAUUCACGGCGAGAUAUCCGGAGCGGAUUCAUGGUUUAUCCGUCCAACCUCGUGGGAACGCGAAGGGAGUGAAAGUUACCCUUUUGGGUGACGAUUCUGGAGAAGGCGCUGGCAAGAAAAGUAGACAUACGCGUGGUAUAUGCCGCCCGUACCGCAAACCAACACAGGUGCUCGAGUCGAGUAGACUCAGGCUUACGAGAGAACCUUCGCUAAGGAACUCGGCAAUACAGCGACCGUAACUUCGGAAUAAGGUCUGCCCCCACUUCGGUGGAUAUGUUGUCAGUUCAUAGCUUAUAGGUGUGGUUAAAGAAAGAGUAUCUUUAAUACAUCAAUUCUUCUUGAGAUAGAACCAAGCUUUGGAACUGAAGCUCAACACAUCUAGCGAUGUGGGGGCCGCAGCAAAAGAGCCCACGGAACUGUUUAUCAAAAACACAGCUCUCUGCCAACACGAAAGUGGAUGUAUAGGGGGUGACUCCUGCCCGGUGCUGGAAGGUUAAGGGGAGUGCUUUACGGUGCGAACUGAAGCCCCAGUGAACGGCGGCGGUAACUAUAACCGUCCUAAGGUAGCGAAAUUCCUUGUCAGGUAAGUUCUGACCCGCACGAAUGGAGUAAUCAUGUGGGCACUGUCUCAGCGAAGGACUCGGUGAAAGUGCAUUGGCGGUAAAGAUGCCGUCUGUCCAUACCAGGACGAGAAGACCCCAUGGAGCUUUACUACAGCUUUACAUUGAUCCGGGUUUCAACAUGUGUAGCAUAGUUGGGAGACUGCGAAGCAGAUACGCUAGUAUUUGUGGAGUCGCAAUGUGAAAUACCAACCUUGUUGUGAUCUUGAUCUCACUUGUGCCGUUAUCCGGUAUGAGGACCGUGUAUGGUGGGUAGUUUAACUGGGGCGGUUGCCUCCUAAAGAGUAGCGGAGGCGUUCAAAGGUUGGCUAACUUCGGAUGGAAAUCGAAGUGAUAGUGUAUGCGCACAAGCCAGCUUGACUGUGAGGACUACAAUCCAAGCAGAGACGAAAGUCGGAGCAAGUGACCCGCUGUAUGUACUUUGUACAAUGUAUGUGGGAACGACAGCGCACACGGAUAAAAGUUACCCUGGGGAUAACAGGCUUAUAGCGCCCAAUAGUUCACAUAGACGGCGCUGUUUGGCACCUCGAUGUCGGCUCAUCACAUCCUGGAGGGGGAGCACCUUCCAAGGGUUCGGCUGUUCGCCGAUUAAAGUGGUACGCGAGCUGGGUUCAGAACGUCGUGAGACAGUUCGGUUUAUAUCCGGUAUGGACGUUAGGAAAUUUGAGAGGAUCUGCCCCUAGUACGAGAGGACCGGGGUGGACGCACCUCUGGUGUACGGAUUGUGGCCACCUGCUGCAUUGUCCGGUAGCUAUGUGCGGACCAGAUAAGCGCUGAAAGCAUAUUAAGCGCGAAACUGACCUCAAGAUUAGAUUUCCCUAUGAGGGCCGUGAAAGACGAUCACGUUGAUAGGUGCAAGGUGGAAGUGCAGUAAUGCAUGGAGCCGAAGCAUACUAAUCGCCCCAUUGCCUUUUUAUG
RNAcentral lists this ribosomal RNA (3114 nucleotides) under Candidatus Saccharimonadota bacterium. RNAcentral describes it as "23S ribosomal RNA". It matches the Rfam family "Bacterial large subunit ribosomal RNA". The record is from RNAcentral. Lineage: Bacteria; Candidatus Saccharimonadota.